ACAUCUGAAGAACGUGUGUGUCGUGUCUAUUCUCGCCACAGGGAGAAUCAGCACUUCCCUAGCCUGUCAGUUAGGGAGGCAACAAUUUUGGGGGCUCGUCCGGGAUCAUCGCCUCGUCAACAGGUGUUGAUCAUCACAGAAUUGCGGGAUUUGCCAUUCCUCGAGCCAGUAUUCAGAGAUGACAACGCUACGAGAACUGCGAUGGGAAAUUCAACAACAACUGCAUCAGCUGACCAGCGCCUCCAGUACAGACAUCCUGUAUAGACUUACACAAUCAUGCAGCGAUGAGGUGGAAGGAGAGAUGCCAAGCAGGGACGCGACGGCAGUGGAAUUCUUUGAUUUUCUUCAGGACUUUUUGAGAAGUGAAGGACUGAAGGGUCUCGAGGACCAAGGGAUGGCUGCCCUGCUCGCCUUUCGUGACCUCAUCAAUGAUCUGCAAGGUGGUCGGGAGACUGUCCGGGGAGAAGCCCAUGCACCUGAGAAGGCAACUGCUGAGGUGGUUGUAGAGACUGAGCCGGUAGCAUCAGUAAAGACAAAGACAAUACCAACACCAGCAGCUGCUGAGAAGUGACUUUAACCAUGAGAAUUAUGGGAUGUUACCUGUGGACAGAUGAAGGGUUUCCAUGUUUAAAAUGCCAAGGAAUAUCCAUAGACCGAUCACUCUUCAUGGAGACACAGCUGGGUUCUGUCAUGGCACCCUUCAGAAGUCUGCAAAUUCUCAAGGCACCCCCAUAUAAAAUACACGCAGUCACGCGGACCAUACGCUGACCCCGGCAGUGACGUUGUCACAUGGGAAAGGGGGCCGUGAGACAAAUUUUGAUGAUGCAUGAGGCGGCGAUGAUCUGCAUUAGUGUGACUAUCGUUUUUUGGAAUUUUAAUUCAUUUUAUUUAUUUCAAUGUUAGAAUAUAUAAUUUUUUGACGGCACCCCUAACGAAGCCAGAUGGCACCCCGGUUGAGAAAGGCUGCUUUAUAUACACCAUUUACACUGGUUAUUAUUAAUUAUUACUGGUUAUUUUAAUUAUGUUGUUAGCAAUUACUCUGAAUUAGUGUCACAUCCAGAUGCACUUUCUGCCUUAUCCUGUAUGUGACGCUGUGAAACACUGAACUGUGCAGUUAUUGAUAUUAAUUACUCUAAAAUGUUUAGUGAAAGUAUUGUAGCAGCAUUCGGACCUAAUUAAAGUAUCACAAAGUGAUAAAUAUCAAAAUGCUGAUGAUGAUCUGGGCUGGAUAAAGGAAUGUGUAACACAGUCUUUCUCUCUGCAAUGACUUUAACUAUGAGAAUUAUGGGAUGUUACCUGUGGACAGAUGAGGGGUUUCCAUGUUUAAAAUGCCAAGGAAUAUCCAUAGACCGAUCACUCUUCAUGGAGACACAGCUGGGUUCUGGUGGCAGCAACAGAGGUCGUAGCCCACAGAGCACAGAGUUAUAGAGUGGAAACCUAACUGCCUCAAAGCACACUGACUGAACAGUCCAGAAAGUGAAGGUAAUCAGAAGGAAGUGUUAUGGCACAUGGGGUCAAACUCCAGGCCCACAGCCUCGUUUCAUUCAGCCCGUGUGAAUGUGGAAACAAUAAAACUGAAACAGCCUGUAGAACACCACUGCUUAAAGGAGAAAUGAAGGCAAAUAUAUCAUCAAAAUUCUAUUUCUCAUUUUUAUUAAAUACAUAUUACAUAUUACUGUCAAAUCUGGUGUCCCACAGGGCUCCGUACUUGGGCCCUUGUUGUUCACAAUAUACAUUAACAAUCUCAGUAAAGAGCUUAUGAAUGUAAAUAUGCAUCUGUAUGCAGAGGAUACUAUAAUUUACCGUUCUGCUGCAUCACCGGCUGAGACCAUUUUAAAGCUGCAAGAAGCAUUUACUGUGGUACAGUGCAAUCGAAAUUCCUUGAAAUUAAUUCUUAAUGAUAAGAAAAUAAAGUUCAUGUUCUUUUCUAGAACCCAUAAGCUGAGAUCCUCCCUGCCUCAACUGGAAAAGAUUGGUUGAAUCUACUUUUCUGCCAGUCUCGGAUUAUGGGGACAUAUUUUAUAGACAUACCUCUAAAGCUCUGCUACAGUCCUUAGACUCUGUGUAUCAUUCUGUGUUAAGAUUUAUCACACAAGCAAGUUACUCCACCCAUCAUUGUGCCUUGUAUGAAAUGGUUGGUUGGUCCUCACUCUUAAUGAGAAGACAUAAACAUUGGUGAAUUUUUGCGUACAAAGCAAUUAUUGGCCAACGUCCUUCUGAUAUAUCUGUUCUUUUAACACCUAGUACAUCUCAGUACAAUUUACGGUCAAGUAGAUAUAUCUUGUAUGAUGUGCAGGCAAAAUCUGAGUUUGGUAAGACUGCCUUUGCUUGUAGUGCUCCAACAGCAUGGAAUGAGCUACAGAGACAACUAAAACUUGAGGUUUUUAUUUCACUUGUUGAUUUCAAAGUUUGUCUUAACCGAGUGUAUCAGUCAGUCUGUUCUUGUUUUUAAAUUUUCUGUCUGCUUUGUUUGUCUGUUCUUAAUUUUUUUUAUUGUUUUGUUCUGUGAGUGUGUGUGAUGAUUGUUAUUCUGUUCUUAAUUCUGUUUUUGUGUGCUGCCUUCUUGGCCAGGGCUCACUUGUAAAAGAGAUUUUAAUCUCAACAUGAUUUUUUAUCCCUGGUAAACUAAAGGUUUAAUAAUAAUAAUAAUAAUAAUAAUAAUAAUAAAAUAUAGGAAUGCAUUUCUGAUGGCUAUUUUGUCGCUGCUAUAGCACGUUACAAGUGUUUGAAAUAUGCUCUGUAAUAUAUCAGUCCAUAUGUCAAAGCAAUGGCCAUAAACGAGAUUCACGGAGACCUGUGUGAGACAUUGUAGGAUGGAAGUAAAACAUACAGCGCAAAUCAAAGUGACCAACCCUAUGUCUGAAAUUGCUCACUCAUUCACUACUCCCUAUAGAGGGAAUUACGACUACAAAAUGGCAUCCCCACUAUAUAGUGCCCUAUAUAGGGAGUAGAGAGUGAUUUGGGACACAGGGCAACAUCUGCCAACGUUAUCAAGAGAUGCGCGCGCCCUCUGUCAAAUGCUGACAUAAUCAAGCCGGAAGUUUUGUUUGUUUUGAUAGCAAUCAGGAAAGUUUGAAAAAAGUA
This is a long non-coding RNA of Neoarius graeffei (lesser salmon catfish), 3084 nucleotides long. RefSeq lists it as uncharacterized. The transcript has 4 exons. Lineage: Eukaryota; Metazoa; Chordata; Actinopteri; Siluriformes; Ariidae. The record is from RefSeq and is a predicted model, not a curated record.